CCCAGAGUAGCUGUGGCUGCUGUGACUGCUCCUGAAGCCCCAGGUCAUCCAGAAUGCCAAGCUGGUACGGCUGGCUGACAUCCGUGUGCUCCCCCUCACCCACAUGGAGGCCAUAUUAUCUCUACUGCAGCUGUCUCUGCCUUCAGGGCGAACUACGCCUGAUCUCCAUGGUGAUGAGUUGGGGUGCUCUACUGGAGACAGCAUUAUGGGUGGUCCUAGCCCGUCAGAGAGCAGCACAAAGAACCCAGGUGCAACGAGUGAAGGUUGGGAGUUGGGAGCACAGCCAGCGGGACACAGAUGGAAAUUCAUAUUGAUGGACGGUGUGCAGAGGGCUGUAUUAACUGCUUAGGAGAGUACGACAGAAGCUCCUUGUAAAUUCUUUGAGGCAGAGGCAGACACUGAAUUACCUUGGAGAUUCUAGAAGAGUACUGGGGCUACAUGAUAUACACAAUACAAAGAAUUUCAUUGUCUUAUUUAUUCUUCAUUACUGUAAUCCAGCCUGUUUGAAAUCACAUUCCAAGAAUUCAUUAAACAGCAUGCAAAAAGCAAAGUUCCCGAAACUAACAUAGAGGCAGAUGGGGUUAAGGGUUUUUUUUCUUCCUUUUUGGUAUGUUAAAAAAAACCUUCAAAUAAACAAAAAAGACCAAGAAAACGUUCAAAUUACCCUAACAAAUUCAUGUAUUCUAUUUGCAUCACUUACUAACAUUUUUGUACAUUUCAGGAAAUUAAUUUGCUUUUAGAAAUUGAGGUUUUCAUGUUCAAAUUAAGUGUCUAUACUUCAACUCAGUAGGUGCUUGAUACCGUUGAGCAGCUGCACAGAUUUGAAAAGCUAUGCUUUUGUCCAUUGCUCAUUAUGGUCCUGAGAACAAGAAUUGAGAGGGGCCUCCCAGUCUUCCUCUCUGCAUUUACUGUUAAUACCUUCAAAUUUAGAAAUUGAUGCCACUGAAUCACUUCCUCUAGCUUAUUUUUUCAUGCUGAUGCUCUCCUGCUGACUUUUCUUUCUCUGGACUUAUGCUCUGGAAUUUACAGAUUUGUAGACGUUAAUGCUGUUGACAACAGGCAGAGUUACUCUGAUCCUCACUACUUUAUC
Ornithorhynchus anatinus (platypus) is the source of this 1090-nucleotide long non-coding RNA. RefSeq lists it as uncharacterized. The transcript is spliced from 3 exons. Lineage: Eukaryota; Metazoa; Chordata; Mammalia; Monotremata; Ornithorhynchidae. The record is from RefSeq and is a predicted model, not a curated record.